CCUCACUGAAAGUCACGUGCAUCUGUACCAGGACCUGCUUGUUCGGCGUCCGGAGAGCAUUUGGAACAUGUAUGUACAUAUGUUCCCCUGUGCAGUGGGCGCUACGACGGUCUACACGUGAACAAUCUGUUCAACCAUUGUCUGGAAGCUUUGCAUCAACGCCACAAGGAAGAAUUGUGCUGGUAACUUACAUGCCGGGUCCAGAUCCACGUCCACACAAACAGUGGCCGUCGUAGCAGUGGUGUACGUCACGGUUGUCUCUACAAUGACAGCUGUCGCAGUCGGAACGGGCGGCGCAUGUGGCUAUAAAACGUGGAAAUUCUGACUUUCAUAUCAUGAUAAAAUUUUGUCAGGAAGUAAUAACAUUUAUACUUUUAACACAAAAAUGAAAUACAAAGGAUACUUUCAAAUUAAA
RNAcentral lists this long non-coding RNA (415 nucleotides) under Haliotis rufescens (red abalone). RNAcentral describes it as "uncharacterized LOC124146377, transcript variant X1". Lineage: Eukaryota; Metazoa; Mollusca; Gastropoda; Lepetellida; Haliotidae. The record is from RNAcentral.